AUUGAACGCUGGCGGCAUGCCUUACACAUGCAAGUCGAACGGUAACAGGUCUUCGGAUGUUGACGAGUGGCGAACGGGUGAGUAAUACAUCGGAACGUGCCUAGUAGUGGGGGAUAACUACUCGAAAGAGUGGCUAAUACCGCAUGAGAUCUACGGAUGAAAGCAGGGGAUCGCAAGACCUUGUGCUACUAGAGCGGCCGAUGGCAGAUUAGGUAGUUGGUGGGAUAAAAGCUUACCAAGCCGACGAUCUGUAGCUGGUCUGAGAGGACGAUCAGCCACACUGGGACUGAGACACGGCCCAGACUCCUACGGGAGGCAGCAGUGGGGAAUUUUGGACGAUGGGCGCAAGCCUGAUCCAGCAAUGCCGCGUGCAGGAUGAAGGCCUUCGGGUUGUAAACUGCUUUUGUACGGAACGAAAAGCCCCGGGUUAAUACCCUGGGGUCAUGACGGUACCGUAAGAAUAAGCACCGGCUAACUACGUGCCAGCAGCCGCGGUAA
This 498-nucleotide ribosomal RNA is filed under the name uncultured bacterium. RNAcentral's name for it is "partial 16S ribosomal RNA". It matches the Rfam family "Bacterial small subunit ribosomal RNA", at positions 30 to 523 of the family's 1533-position model. The record is from RNAcentral.